CUUGGAACAGCUUGUGUGUGCCUCUCAGAUUCCUACAGAAGAAAGGAUACCUUUUCUUUUUUAUUGGAUGGACAACAACAUAACCGCAACAAUAGAUCUAUCAGGUAAUUGGCCAUCUGUCUUAAUCCAUGUGUACUUAGAACUUACAUGUCAGGUUGUGCUAUCAAGUCAAGUUUUCGGUUUAUACUCUUGCUUCUAAAUAGUUUUCGGUUUAUACUCUUGCUUCUAAAUAAUGGGGAAAACCUAUUUUCUGAAAUUUUGCACUCUAGACCUGAAAUUAUAGAGAAAUUUGUGAAUAGUUAAAUGAAUUUGAGCAUUUGAUUCAUUGCAUGUGCGUGGUGGUCGAGCACGGUAGUGCUGAUGGGUGCCGUCUCUGUCGACUGGAGAAGCGCAGGUCACGGCUCACACCGCUGCUCUAUUGGGGUCAUCAACCGUCGUGCUUGCGUUGCGCCUGCGCUCAGGUCCUACAUCCCAGUGAGCGUUGGGUGACGUGUCCAUCGGCUGAGCGACAAGUCGGAGCUGCAAGUCGUUGACCAUGGGGUGCUACUGUGAGGAUCUCAUGUCUUUCACUCUAUGUUAGCAUCAUUGUAUCCAUUUCCAGCUGAAGUAGACAUGGUAUUCUGGCUCGUGAAUCCAUUUCGACUUUUGGGCUUGCAGCCACAUGCAGUUUCAACUUCCCUCUCUGCAGUUUCAGACCCCUCCUUGCUACUCUGCGUACUGUUUCUCAGGUAAAUCUGCUCUUUCUUAUGUAUCUCUUACAUAUGUACCUAUAAAAAAGAGUUCCAUACUGCAGGUCUAUAGCCUUGAAUGAAAAAUAUACUAUGGCUUGGAUUUCGCCCUGUAUGAUUAAACUCGAUUAUGAGAAAGCCUUUGACAAAGUUAAUCUAGACUUCUUGUAUGAGGUGCUGGAAAAGAGGAACUUUGGCCCUAGAUGGAUUAAUUGGAUAAAACAAAUUACUCAACUAGGUUCGAUUGGUGUGAAAAUUAAUGGAGUAGAAGGGAACUUCUUUACUACUAGUAAAGGGCUUAGACAGGGAGACCCUGCCCCCCUUUGUUGUUUAAUCUUGUCAUUGAUGUACUGACCAGAAUGCUAAUUAAAGCUGCAUCACAUGACCUAGUGAAAGGCUUGUGCUCUGAUCUCAUCCCGGGGGGGGGGGGGGGGGUCAUCUGCUUGCAAUAUGCACAUGACACUAUCCUCUUCCUAGAUAAUGAUAUAGAAAAAGCAGCUAAGCUCAAAACUAUUCUAACUUGCUUUGAGGACGUUUUUGGUAUGAAGAUUAACUACUCUAAGAGUGAAAUCAUACCAUUAGGACUCUCUGAAGGAGAGAUUGCCUUCCAAUACAUCAUGGGCAUUCCCCAUAAAAUACCUAGGUAUCCCACUUCAUUACGACAAGCUUAGAAGAGAGGACAUACAACCUCUUAUUGAUAAAAUCCUCAAGAGAAUGGCAGGGUGGAGGGGCAAACUGCUCUCCUAUUCUGCCAGGAUUGUCUUGAUUAAAACCUGCAUUGCAAGUAUCCCGGUAUACCUGCUCUCUUUCUUUAAAUUUCCUAGAUGGGCACUUGACUUGGUCAAUAGUCAACUGGCUCACUGCCUAUGGAGUGACUUUGAGGGGAACAGGAAGUUACACCUUGCUAACUGGCAUCUAGUUUGUAUGAAGAAAGAAUAUGGUGGUCUAGGUAUCCCAAACAUCAAGAAUGUAAACCUGUGCCUCUUGGGCACCUGGGUGAGAAGGUACACCCAGGAUGGGGGGAAAAUCUGGAGAGAUAUAGUUGAUAGUAAGUACAUUAAAAGGAGCCCAAACAUCUUUGCUUCUAGCACCCAAAAUACCUCCAAAUUUUGGCAAGGUGUUAUGUGGGCGGCUAAAGCUCUGAAGUUUGGAUAUAGAUGGCAAAUAGGGGAUGGUACCAAAAUUAGACUUUGGGAGGAUAUUUGGUUUGUUAGUACAGUUUUGGCCCCUGUACACUAUCUGUCAUCAACAAGGCGUGACUGUAGCUGAAACCUGGGAUGGCACAAAUAUAAAAUUGACCUUCAGGAGAACUUUCUCAGCUGCCAUGAUGGAGGAUUGUGUUGGAAAUAUGCCCUAGAGGCAAUAAUAAAUGGUUAUUAUUAUAUUU
This is a long non-coding RNA of Aegilops tauschii subsp. strangulata, 2115 nucleotides long. RefSeq lists it as uncharacterized. The record is from RefSeq and is a predicted model, not a curated record. NCBI's taxonomy places the organism in Eukaryota, Viridiplantae, Streptophyta, Magnoliopsida, Poales, Poaceae.